This 498-nucleotide ribosomal RNA is filed under the name Clostridium sp. A4-5. Its description in RNAcentral is "bacterial SSU rRNA". It matches the Rfam family "Bacterial small subunit ribosomal RNA", at positions 8 to 521 of the family's 1533-position model. Lineage: Bacteria; Bacillati; Bacillota; Clostridia; Eubacteriales; Clostridiaceae. RNAcentral also lists the same sequence under 11 other names. The record is from RNAcentral.
AGAGUUUGAUCCUGGCUCAGGAUGAACGCUGGCGGCGUGCUUAACACAUGCAAGUCGAGCGAUGAAGUUUCCUUCGGGAAACGGAUUAGCGGCGGACGGGUGAGUAACACGUGGGUAACCUGCCUCAUAGAGUGGAAUAGCCUUCCGAAAGGAAGAUUAAUACCGCAUAAUGUUGAAAGAUGGCAUCAUCAUUCAACCAAAGGAGCAAUCCGCUAUGAGAUGGACCCGCGGCGCAUUAGCUAGUUGGUGGGGUAACGGCCUACCAAGGCGACGAUGCGUAGCCGACCUGAGAGGGUGAUCGGCCACAUUGGGACUGAGACACGGCCCAGACUCCUACGGGAGGCAGCAGUGGGGAAUAUUGCACAAUGGGGGAAACCCUGAUGCAGCAACGCCGCGUGAGUGAUGAAGGUUUUCGGAUCGUAAAGCUCUGUCUUUGGGGAAGAUAAUGACGGUACCCAAGGAGGAAGCCACGGCUAACUACGUGCCAGCAGCCGCGGU